GGCUUUGCCGCUUUUUGAUAAGUACAAAUGGGUCAUGUUUAAGAAAAUUUAGAUCAUGUUGGAUUAUUUAUUUCCUCUAUCACAUGCUCUCAAGAAUGAGAAGUACCUUAAUGAUUGAAUGAUAUUUUUGAAGCUGAAUAUCUAUUCUAUUCGUCAUAAAGAAAGAUGGGUACACACAAAUUUUAAAAUUAUAUAAUACUCCUAAUAUUGAAAUCGCUUGUAAACAACUUAUUGUAUUCAACGUUCCAAAACUAGGCGUAACAACAUAAAAUCUUGCCAUAAAUCAACUAGAGUAGGAAAAGAACAAAGUCACUCGUUCAGAUUUUAGGGACUCUGCUACAUCUUUGAGCAUUUCCUUCAGUUCACCAUUCUGUACCAAAAGCAAAUUUAUUCUCCGGAUAAACAAGCUGUCAUGAAAAAGGUAUUAGAAGUUUGCCUCAUGCAUACUGAAAAUGAUGUCUGAUCCUCCAACUAAAUAUACUUUGUCAUAAAGCUUAAGAAAAUUUGGAGCAGAAAGAACUAUUUAAAUGAGAAUACUUAUUCACCAAGCAUUAGCUUAUGUACCUCAAAAAAAUCUUUUCCCAGUUGGUGUAUCCAGAAUACAAUAGAUUUUUUUCUGUAGCAUUUCUUUGAAAUUUUUCCCGACCAGUUAACAAAAAUAUUGAAUCCCCAUCUCUUCAAGCUCCCUGUACAAUCUCAAACUUGCAGGUAGGGCAGGGGCCUCAACCAAUCCCACAUAAUCAUUAAAAGAUAUGAUGCAGUCAAUUAAAAUACAUUGCAAUCAUUGGCAAACACAAGGCCUUAACAGCUUCAAAUUGAUGCUAGCAAAUUAAAAUCCACAACUAGAAUACCGAAUUUCACAAAUUAACAUCCACAUGACAUGAGUACCAUGACUUCGUUACACAAUUAUAUAAAAUAUUGUUGCACCUUCAUUGCCGAGAGAAUCUCUACAUAAAAGCCAAAAUAACACUCAUCAUUUAAAAAUUGAGUGACUACAUAUGCUCCCAGAAUUUAUUUUCAACACAGCUACCUUUGGUUUACAACUCUCAGUAAUCCUUUACUGUUAUUAAUUUUCUUAAUCCCCCAAAUGUUAGGGGAGAGUAAGUUCUAUAAAAAAAUGUUAGGGGACAAAUAGCAACAAAAAUUUAGAAUUUACUUUCCCUAACAUUUUGGAAAUUAAGAAAAUUAAUAAAAAUGUUUGGAGGGAUCCUUAAUUAUUAUUCAAUAAAUAUUCUUUUUUUACAAUUACAAUUAUUAUUCAGUAAUUAUUAAUUAGUAAAUAUUCUCUUUUUACAAUUAUUAUUCAGGUGUUCCUGUACAAAUAUGUCUUAACCAUAUGUCCAUAACAACAAAAGAAUUAACGAAAGCUAGAAAAAUCUCAAAUUUAUUAAAGGUCUACAAUAAAUCUAACUGUCGAUAUUUACUAUAAUCAAUAUCAACAAUUAGACAUACACCGGUUGAAGCAGAACAUGUUUAAUCAAAACCCACGCACAUCCAGAAAACGAUUAAUAGCACGAUCAGGUUGUGUGUUUUCAAUUCCCUUCUAAUAAAAUACUAAAUACUGGAUAUCAUUUUCUAUUAUUUAAUAAUUACCUUCUUAUAUGAGUCUGCCUAUGUCAAACUGUUCUUCUCCCCCAAAGAAAUUCUAGGGUUUACACAGCGCUCCAACGAAUCGAUAGAAUCUGAAAGAUAAAUACAGCUACCUCAUGUAUAUACGACUCAACUUUUACAGAUCUUUGAGGCUAGAUUCAAUUCAGUUUCUGGAUGUUGUUGUGUUAAUUCGUUAGAUUUGACUGAGAGAUAGAGAAGAGGUAGAGAGAGAUAGAGAAGAGUUGAGGAUGGGUUUUUUGUGGUUUAUAUAGAUGACCCAUUUUUUGAGACCCGCGUUAUUUUUUUUAAGUUCGCUUUUGGUCCGUGU
Molecule: long non-coding RNA, 1918 nt
Filed under: Panax ginseng (ginseng)
Lineage: Eukaryota; Viridiplantae; Streptophyta; Magnoliopsida; Apiales; Araliaceae
Description: long non-coding RNA (PGIN_LNC005927)
Source: RNAcentral